Molecule: ribosomal RNA, 574 nt
Filed under: Taphrina wiesneri
Lineage: Eukaryota; Fungi; Ascomycota; Taphrinomycetes; Taphrinales; Taphrinaceae
Description: eukaryotic LSU rRNA
Rfam family: 5.8S ribosomal RNA (bases 179-332)
Source: RNAcentral
AGUCUGGGUCUAAAAACCCUCUCUCUUCUACACACUUGUGAACUUACACUGUUGCUUUGGCAGGUUUCCAGAUGGGUUCUCUGAACCCGGACGGUCAGGUCGUAAGACGCCUGCCAAGGACAUUUAAUCCACCCUUUUUUUAAUCGUCUGAUUUUUUUGUUUUAAACAAAUAUAAAAAAACUUUCAACAAUGGAUCUCUUGGCUCUGGCAUCGAUGAAGAACGCAGCGAAAUGCGAUAAGUAAUGUGAAUUGCAGAAUUCAGUGAAUCAUCGAAUCUUUGAACGCACAUUGCGCCCUCUGGUAUUCCGGAGGGCAUGCCUGUUUGAGUGUCAUUAAUCUCUCACAAGACCGUCUGGUCUCUGUCGAAGUUGGGACUUGCGAACCUUCUGGGAUCGCUGUCCUCAAAUGCAUUGGUGCGGCCCGCCGCCCGGUUUACACAACGUUCUAGGUUCGUCCAACUCGUUGCUUCUCCGGUGCAAUCAUGGUGCUGCACCUAAAGCCCGCCUCGUGCCCUGUGCUCUUGGCUUCUUCAUUUAUUGACCUCAGAUCAGGUAGGAAUACGCGCUGAACUUAA